RNAcentral lists this ribosomal RNA (305 nucleotides) under uncultured bacterium. Its description in RNAcentral is "bacterial SSU rRNA". It matches the Rfam family "Bacterial small subunit ribosomal RNA", at positions 335 to 638 of the family's 1533-position model. The record is from RNAcentral.
UGCCUACGGGGCGCAGCAGUGAGGAAUAUUGGUCAAUGGCCGAGAGGCUGAACCAGCCAAGUCGCGUGAGGGAUGACGGCCCUACGGGUUGUAAACCUCUUUCGUCAGGGAGCAACGCCGGCUACGUGUAGCCGGACUGAGAGUACCUGAAGAAAAAGCAUCGGCUAACUCCGUGCCAGCAGCCGCGGUAAUACGGAGGAUGCGAGCGUUAUCCGGAUUUAUUGGGUUUAAAGGGUGCGUAGGCGGAAUGCCAAGUCAGCGUUAAAAUCGCGGGGCUCAUCCUCGCUCCGCCGUUUAAACUGGCG